This 24-nucleotide non-coding RNA is filed under the name Chlamydomonas reinhardtii. Lineage: Eukaryota; Viridiplantae; Chlorophyta; Chlorophyceae; Chlamydomonadales; Chlamydomonadaceae. RNAcentral also lists the same sequence under 9 other names. The record is from RNAcentral.
AUUAGUGACGCGCAUGAAUGGAUU